AAGUCGUAACAAGGUAUCCGUAGGUGAACCUGCGGAUGGAUCAUUAAGAAGGCUUAUAGGAGUUAUCCUGUUACCUACCUUUUGUGGUGUAGAAAGCAUUGUUGUGUAGGGGGGAGUGCGAUCCGAUGGUGAGUGUGGUGCGGUGUGUUGGUAAUGGGGAGAAUGAUAUAUAUAUAUAUAUAUAUUUCUAUUCCCUCAUCGUCCCUACCGCUACCACCGCCGUCGCCGCCGCAUCUUCCCCCUCUCACCACUAUAUUAACCUUUUAAACCUUUUUCUUUAUCAACUAAAGUAUUACCUUGCGGAUCAUUCUAAACGCCCCCGGCGUGGACGGAUCGAUCAUCAAGUAAAACAAAAUAUAUAAUUAAAUACAACUGCUAGCAACGGAUCACUCGGCUCUC
RNAcentral lists this unclassified non-coding RNA (399 nucleotides) under fungal sp. RNAcentral describes it as "partial internal transcribed spacer region". The stretch from base 1 to 46 matches the Rfam family "Eukaryotic small subunit ribosomal RNA", at positions 1786 to 1831 of the family's 1831-position model. The record is from RNAcentral. RNAcentral also lists the same sequence under 1 other name. Lineage: Eukaryota; Fungi.